Molecule: ribosomal RNA, 2625 nt
Filed under: Triticum aestivum (bread wheat)
Lineage: Eukaryota; Viridiplantae; Streptophyta; Magnoliopsida; Poales; Poaceae
Description: partial small subunit ribosomal RNA
Source: RNAcentral
AUGCCACCCAUAAGUGGUGCCGGUCUCCUUCCCGUGUGUGUUCCAAGGGGUGGCCGGGGCCGCGGCUGGCGGCGAUCGGAUUUGCAGGGGGACGGGGCUAUGGAGCUCGCUAGCGUGCAACGGCGUGGGUCGGCGGCAUCCGAAGGCCCAUGUUGGCAGUGGAUCGCUGGUGCACUCAAGUCGUUAACUUGUUUGGGUGUGCCCUCAAGAAGAAGAAGAAGAAGAAGAAGAAGAGAUUCCAGUAGUGUUGGAUGCGAUGAAGACUUUGCUUCACACACAGUUGCUCAGCGGCAGCAUUCGAGGACUUCUUUGUUGGUUGUGCCUGGGGGAGGAAGUGGGGGUGCGAAGGAAGACAAGGAGAGGAUGGCGGCGCAGUCCGUCCUUGUGGUCGAAGAGGAGAACCACCUGGGAGACGGUGGUAAGAAGGGGGCCGCAGGGAGUGGAGAUGGAAGCCAGGGGCGGGAGGGAGCAAAGGGGGAGUACCAUGCUUGGGGACCUCCCGCAAGUCUUCAGGAUAGAUUUGAAGGUCUGCACCUGCGUGGAGAGGAGGAAGUUGAACUCGAUUUCAGUGCUGAAUUUGAAGAUCUAGUCAAGAACAUUAGGUGGCUGGCGAUAUUCAGAGUUCAUACAACUCGUCAGUUCAGCCAUUCAGCUCUGUACAACGCGAUGCGCACGGCAUGGUCGUCGGCCCAACAAGUUAUCUUCAAACCAAAGGGUCUCAACCUGUUCAUUGCACAAUUUAGUUGUUUGGGGGAUUGGAAGAGGGUGAUGGACGGUGGCCCCUGGUUGUUUAGGAACGCGGCUGUUUUGAUCCAGGAAUACGACAGGUUUAGCAAUGUUAAUGACUACAAGCUGGAUAAGAUCCCAGUUUGGACAAGAAUUGAAGGGGUGUCGGAGGGUUUGAUGCGGAAGAAAGAGCUAGCAGAGAAGGUAGCCCGCAAGGUGGGAGAACCGCCAAUAACGGUGGUAGUGAAUGAAGGCUUCAUCAACACCUCUAAAUUUCUUAGGGCCAGAGUGUUUCUUGAUGUUCAUGUGCCUCUGGUCAGGUUUGUGCCCAUAACCUUGAAGGAGAGGAAAAAGUACCCAGUUUACUAUGAAAAGCUUCCCGACUUUUGCUACUUUUGUGGCCUGAUGGGGCACCAAGUGGAGGAGUGCGGGGAUGGAGUUCACGAUCCUACUGCUUGUGAAUGGGGAGACUGGCUUCUGUGGAACUUUGAAAAUACUAUGCCAAAACAGAAUGGGGGGAGAGGAGGCAGAGGUGGGGGAGAUAGGGGAGGAAGUGUGUCAGGAGGUAGAGGAGGUUGGGGUCGAGGGAGCAUGGCUCGUGGAAGCACCAAAAGUGAUAGAAAUGAGGCCACUGAAAUGGAGUAUAGUACUCAAGAUGUUAGAUAUGUUCCUAUUAUGCCGGGCACUGUUGCUGGAAAAAUUCUUCAGAUUGAGGCAGCUCCAGUAGUGAAUGACGCAAAUGCAGGGACCCCUGGCAAGCAACCUAUUGUAAAGAGGCGUAGGCAGGGAGAUGAUGGAGUAAGAUCAUGUUACCGCAUGCUCAAGGAGACAAAACAGAGGAGAGAGGACUGGCUAAACAGGAAUGGAAGGAACUCGGAUUACCAAUCAAACAAGAAACAGUGGUGUAGGCUUUGGGGUGCAAAAAUUCCAGCCAAACUGAAAAACUUUGUGUGGAGGCUCUCCCAUAACUCUAUACCGACAGAGGGAGUCAGACAUCACACACACAUGACAGAAAAUGAUGUUUGCAAAAUAUGCAAUGGUGCUGUGGAUAGCUGGAAGCAUGCGUUGAUAGAAUGUCAAAUGGCCAAGUGUGUUUGGGCCAUGGUUGAUGAGGAGUUAGUCCAGCAUAUGGUAACGAUUACCACUGAUGAUGCUCGAUUAUGGCUAGUGGAGCUACAAGAUUUAUUGAGGAUCUGUCUUUUAUCCCUCAAAAGAAGCAUUCUGUGCAACAGGUUAGCUCAAGAGCCAAUGUACAGGCAAAGAAAUGGCUACCUCCCAGCAUCAACGUUGGUGGUGGACAACCUGCAUCCGGAAACCCUGGAGGCGAUGGCCAGCAAUGAGGGUCUCUCGUUGGCCCUCGAUCUCAACAUACAGAACGUCCAGAUUAGCACAGACUGUGUGGCUACUGUUAAUCACAUCGGAGAACCUUUUCUAGGUCCAAGUAAAGUUAUCGUGGAGGAGAUCAAGAUGAAGCUUCAGAUGUUUCCAGAAUUUGAAGUCAUCCACGAGAGACACCACGCAUCCAUCUACGCCGGCGGCGCUGGCCCGAAGGCCGGGCCGCAAACGGUGAUGCAAUGUAGCUGUGCCUCCUCGCACGCAACGGCGCAGUCCGGCAGCUGUCCAGCGGCCUUCGUGGAGCACCCGCUGGUGCACUCAACGGCACCCGUCGCACACCCCAUCACGCAGGAGACGAGGGAGUUGACGUUGGCCCGCCCAUCGCCAGCAUCCGCGCCGCCGGCGGCUGCUGCUCCCGCCAUGAGGAGGAGUAUCACCGAGGCGCUGGUGAACGGUGAAGCCAUCCUGUCCUGUGCGUCGAUUUUUCGUGUGGCGUGGCUAGAGUUUCAGACUACUUACACUUUGUGGUGCGACGGGCCACGGCUUCGGAGGGAGAAUUUAUAG